Long non-coding RNA from Gavialis gangeticus (Gharial), 1712 nucleotides. RefSeq lists it as uncharacterized. NCBI's taxonomy places the organism in Eukaryota, Metazoa, Chordata, Crocodylia, Gavialidae. The record is from RefSeq and is a predicted model, not a curated record. The transcript has 7 exons.
UGCAGGCUGGCUUUAUAUAUUCAUGGAAAACAAAAGUGCAGCUUUCACUCUGCCAGCCCCCUCUUGCCAAACAUUUUUUUUCUUUUGGGUUGAUGUAGGUGCUCCAGUCCCUGGCACUGUAAUGUGAUAGAAUUGCUGCUACAACGGUCCUUUACACAGUCCCCAAAGAAUGCCAGUUUCUGUUUUUCAGUUUGCAGGAAACUUAUGGGUGGGAGUGUGUUACGAAGAACAAGAUGGCAGCCAAACAAGCCACUGCAUGGCUUUCAGACCCGCAAUGAGCUGUUUUACAUUUGGCGCCGAUUAGGAAACGUUCCAAGCUACCGGUACUAUUUCUAGUCUCAAUACUCUGAAACGUGUGAAAUAUGCGGACCAGAUUCUGAUCCAGUCGUUAUAAACCAAAUUUUUGCCAGUGAGAGAUGCGGUGUAAAAGCACAAGUCAGAUCUGGAAGAAAGAUGGGGAGAUAUGUCAUGAGAGAGCCAGUCUUGUUGGAACAAGGCAUUCUAAAGAAGUCUGUGAACCACACAGGCUUAUUCCCAGGUCUUUGCAGCCAAGCAACAUCAUUUCCCCUGACAUCCAUCUUGCCAAAGAGGAAGGUAGAAAAGAAGCAAGAAGUACAACAAGAGACAGAGGACCUGAAAUAUCCCUGAUGAGUGGGAAGAUGAGAGGAGAAAAGUACUGCGAGUUGCCCAAGACCGUGAAGGGAAGUCAGUGGCAGAGCCCAGAUGAGCCUGCGUGAGAUUGGUAAACAAGGUUGUAUCCUGCAAAGGCAAAAUAUCCAUCUGGUGCCCUUAAAACUGUAGGCAGCCCCAACCAAAAUGGCUCAUUACCUGAAGUGGCAUCUAUUGUUUGCUGUAUAAGUUGGUCUCUUUGUAUGAACACAUGAUAUGAGACAGUGCCUGCCCUGGAAAGCUUACGAUUAAACUAGACGAGUCAAAGCGACGGAGGAAGGAAGGAUUGUUAUUCCCACUGGUCAGACUAGAGAUGGAGGCACUAAGAGGGUAAAGGUCUGAUUCUGCGUCCUGUGGAAUCCAUGGCAUCCCCCUCGGGACCUCACCGGUGCAAGAGCAGUGCAGCAGUGAGUCACAAGGUCCCAAUGAGCCUAGAUCUGAGCUUGAGUCCAACAGCUUAAUCACACUCUCACCCUGAAAUGCAAAUUGAGUCAAUCAUAUGCCACCCCCAUUGUCUCCACUUAUACAUGGGGACCUUGAAGUACACAGGCAGGCACUGAUCACAGCGGCAUAACUGUCCAGAGAUCCUGGCAUCCCACUCCAUAGAUUAACUCCACACCUACUUCCCUAUACAUCAUUUGCCAUGUAACUCUUUAGAGUGUAAAGCAUCUUGGAGUACAGGUUCAUGUGGCAAGGCAGAAUGGUGAAAGAGUAUUUUGGAUAAGACACAAGGCCAAAAUCCUGCUGUUCCCCAGGGUCUUUUAAUCUUCCUACAGCAAUGGGGCCUUUUCCUUCUCACCUGACUUUUAGUUCUCAUGUGAAAAUGCUUCACGCAGUAAACUCCCUGCUGUUCGGUUCCUCCCCUCAGAUGAUGCUUGACCUCAGGAGUCUAAUUCUUGGUUUUCAGAGCCGCACUAACAGCCCAAAUCAGCCAAGUCUUCCUGACCUUAGGGGGAAGUGCUGUGACUAGGGUGGCCACCAUAUAGGACAGUCCGGUUGUCUUCUAUCCUUUAUUGAUAUGAAACUGGACACCUUUAUGUCCC